UGGGGAAUAUUGGACAAUGGGGGGAACCCUGAUCCAGCCAUGCCGCGUGUGUGAAGAAGGCCUUAUGGUUGUAAAGCACUUUAAGCGAGGAGGAGGGUACUGGUAUUAAUACUACCAGGUACUGGACGUUACUCGCAGAAUAAGCACCGGCUAACUCUGUGCCAGCAGCCGCGGUAAUACAGAGGGUGCGAGCGUUAAUCGGAUUUACUGGGCGUAAAGCGUGCGUAGGCGGCUAAUUGAGUCGGAUGUGAAAUCCCCGAGCUUAACUUGGGAAUUGCAUUCGAUACUGGUUAGCUAGAGUGUGGGAGAUGAUGGUAGAAUUCCAGGUGUAGCGGUGAAAUGCGUAGAGAUCUGGAGGAAUACCGAUGGCGAAGGCAGCCAUCUGGCCUAACACUGACGCUGAGGUACGAAAGCAUGGGGAGCAAACAGG
This 430-nucleotide ribosomal RNA is filed under the name Pseudomonadota bacterium. RNAcentral's name for it is "Proteobacteria bacterium partial 16S ribosomal RNA". It matches the Rfam family "Bacterial small subunit ribosomal RNA", at positions 355 to 776 of the family's 1533-position model. The record is from RNAcentral. Lineage: Bacteria; Pseudomonadati; Pseudomonadota.